GCCUACGGGGGGCAGCAGUGGGGAAUAUUGCACAAUGGGGGAAACCCUGAUGCAGCAACGCCGCGUGGGUGAAGAAGUAUUUCGGUAUGUAAAGCCCUAUCAGCAGGGAAGAGAAUGACGGUACCUGACUAAGAAGCCCCGGCUAACUACGUGCCAGCAGCCGCGGUAAUACGUAGGGGGCAAGCGUUAUCCGGAUUUACUGGGUGUAAAGGGAGCGUAGACGGCUGUGCAAGUCUGAAGUGAAAUGCCGGGGCCCAACCCCGGAACUGCUUUGGAAACUGUACAGCUAGAGUGCAGGAGGGGGG
This 305-nucleotide ribosomal RNA is filed under the name uncultured bacterium. Its description in RNAcentral is "bacterial SSU rRNA". It matches the Rfam family "Bacterial small subunit ribosomal RNA", at positions 337 to 659 of the family's 1533-position model. The record is from RNAcentral.